This 403-nucleotide ribosomal RNA is filed under the name uncultured bacterium. RNAcentral's name for it is "bacterial SSU rRNA". It matches the Rfam family "Bacterial small subunit ribosomal RNA", at positions 361 to 776 of the family's 1533-position model. The record is from RNAcentral.
AUAUUGCGCAAUGGGCGAAAGCCUGACGCAGCAACGCCGCGUGAGGGAUGACGGCCUUCGGGUUGUAAACCUCUUUCAGCAGGGAAGAAGCGAAAGUGACGGUACCUGCAGAAGAAGCACCGGCUAACUACGUUCCAGCAGCCGCGGUAAUACGUAGGGUGCAAGCGUUGUCCGGAUUUAUUGGGCGUAAAGAGCUCGUAGGCGGUCAGUCACGUCGGAUGUGAAAACCCGGAGCUUAACUCCGGGCCUGCAUUCGAUACGGGCUGACUAGAGUGUUGUAGGGGAGACUGGAACUCCUGGUGUAGCGGUGAAAUGCGCAGAUAUCAGGAAGAACACCGGUGGCGAAGGCGGGUCUCUGGGCAACUACUGACGCUGAGGAGCGAAAGCGUGGGGAGCAAACAGG